This 4001-nucleotide long non-coding RNA is filed under the name Homo sapiens (human). Its description in RNAcentral is "non-protein coding lnc-STAC2-3:1". The record is from RNAcentral. Lineage: Eukaryota; Metazoa; Chordata; Mammalia; Primates; Hominidae.
ACUGCUGGCGCUGCCCGGAUGCAGAGUGGGGGCUGCCUUUCCUGAUGAGCGCCCCCUCCUCCACCGGUUCCGGUUUACAGCCCCCGCCCCCUGAGCCAGGUAGGCCAGGUGGGCCCAGACCUUGGGUCCCCUCCUUGAGCUUUCUUUGGGCUCCUUGACUUGAGGAAGGCCCUGGAGGUUGGGGGUCGAGAGAGCCGGGAAAGGAGGGUGACCCUCCCCCUCCUAGGAUCCCCAGCCCUGGGAGUGGAAGAAGGGGUCACAAGACCAGUGUGAAUGCUUAAAGAGAGGGAACUCAUAAAUAGGCACCUACUGUGCCCAGGGAACCGUGCCAGGAACUUGAUGUUACUUAAUCCUUUCCAGGAUCCUGUGAGGCGAGUGGGGGUGUCCUCCUCUCACAGGGAAGAACUGAGGCACAGCCAGGUUAGGUGGCUUAUCUAAGGUCACACAGAUUACCCAGCUCAACACUGCCCUCUUUAUACAUGGGGAAACUGAGGCCUGGAGUGGGCUAAUGACUUGUCCAGGGUCACACAGCAAAAUGAGUGAUCAAGCCAGUCUUGGAAACCGCGGCUUUUUCUUCUCCUUUCAGCUCUUUCCCUCCCCUGCCCUGGCUUCCUCAAUGCCUUAAACUAACAAAAUGGAGACAGAGACACCCUGAGACGCUGGGCCAGAGGCUCCAGGGAUCAAGAGCCUGAGAGCCUUGCAGCCACGCCUUAUGCACACCCAGCUGUGUGUCUGCCACCAGCCGGCAGCUGGCCUGGACGCCCAUCCCCCUCCAGCCUAUUUGCCGCACUGCUGAGCACAGCAGCUUUUUUGGGUGGCUGAACCCCAUGCAGCAUGCUCACAGCCUAGGGCCUGGGAACAGUUGGUGCCCCACUGUAGCCUUUGCCCUCCUCUGUGCCCACUCUGGGGGUGGACGGACCAGCAACACUACUGGUCUGGGGCAAAGGGUGCCUAGGAAGCUACUGGUGAUCCCAAAUCCCACCAUUUGGCUCUGUUGUCUCUGACCCACAUGUGCCCUUCAUGCCCCCCUACACAGAAGCUGAGCUUCACCUGGCUUGUACUGUGUGGGAUGAAGGUUCCCUGGACUUCAGGGAGAUGCAGAAAGAGGAGGGAGUCUGGAGAGAUGGAUGCUGGAGGUGGGGAGAAGAGAGAAUGAGCCCCUCGGUGCAACCCUACUCAUUUUGCCAGCACUGCUUCCUUUGGCCCCUUCAACCUUCUUCACCCCCAUUCUUACCCGCUGUCCACCCAAUGCCUGGGCAGGUGGGGGCACCUGCUGAGGAGUGCAAGGAAGGCAGCCUCAGCCUCCCUGUGCUUUGCAGGAAGCCAGCCUAGGUUAGCCCUGCCGUAGCCUCAGAGGCAGUACUGGAAGGAGGCCAGGCCCCUCUGUACCCUCUUCUCCAGCUCACAGCCCUGCAGUAGCAGCUGUGCUCAGUGCCUCUGCUGCACCCCAAUCUGAAUCACACCCUCCCACGUCGGGAGACUGCAGCCUGGGAAUCAGAGUCAGGCGCCAGUGUUCGUGCAGCACUGAGGUUCUGCACACCCCACUUGUGUCUGCCACCAGCCAGUAGCCAGCCUAGCCCCCCCACCCCCGGCCUGUUUGCCGCACUGCUGAGCACAGCAGAAGAGUCACUGGCUCCUCUGGGUCUCUGUUUCCUCCUCUAGAAAAUCAAGCAUUGGGUUUGCUCAGGGAUUCUUUACGUGGUAAGGGUGUGGGUCACGAGCUCCUUGAAAGGGUGUGGAAUUAUAUGAUAGGGACACUUGUAUGCUCUUGAAAGAAAAAACAUUUUUUUUUACAAUUUUUUUUUUUUCCCCUGAGAUGGAGUCUCUCUCUGUCACCCAGGCUGGAGUGCAGUGGCUCAAUCUCGGCUCACUGCAACCUUUGCCUCCUGGGUUCAAGUGAUUCUCCUGCCUCAGCCUCCCGAAUACCUGGAAUUACAGGCGCGUGCCACCACGCCUGGCUAAUUUUUGUAUUUUUAGUAGAGCCAGGGUUUCACCAUGUUGACCAGGCUGGUCUCUAACUCUUGACCUCAAAUUAUACACCCGCCUCGGCCUCCCAAAGUGCUGGGUUUACGAGCGUGAGCCACCGCGCCCAGCCAACAAAUUAUUUUUGAUAUUUUUGUUUUAGAGACAGGGACUUAUUAUGUUGCCCAGGCUGGCAUGCAGUGUCUAUUCACAGGCACCGUCAUAGCUCACUGCAGCCCCAAACUCCUGGGCUCACGUAGCCCUUCCCAGUCAGCCUCCAGAAUAACUGGGACUACAGGCUCACGCCAAUGUGCCUGACAGGACACAUCUUUUCUUUUUUCUUUUUCCAUAAGUAAGGAAACAAGAGGACACAUCUUUUAAUCAGAUUUUCUCAAGGCUACAGGACCCGGAAAAGAUCCAGCAGUUACUUUAGGGGUUCUUUCUGCUUGGGGCUCCUGUGGGAGUGGAUCCCUCCUAGGCACUGGCCUGGGAAGAGGUUGGAGGACCAUGGUGGAAAGAGGCCAACUUCAGGCCUGGGGUGAGGUUAGGAAAGAAGUGGGGAAACCCAAGGCCUUCCAAGAGGUGGGUUCCUACAACUUCCUAACCCAUCUCUUUCUCCCGCCCCCGAGAACAGACAAAAACAAAACCAAAAAAAAACUCCAGUGAGGCAGCAGCUGACACCUGCAUUGACCUGUGAGCGAGUAGCACCAUCUUCUGGUCCAGGGUGGAAACCAGCUUCUGCGCUGCAGGCUCUGGAAUCCUGGGAGGGUCUCAUAUUGGGUUACCUCAUUCUCCUUCCUGACAUUUUUUUUUUUUUGGUUGGGGGUUGGGGGGAAGGGUCUGGCUCUGUCACCAAGGCUGGAGUGCAGUGGUGCAAUCUUGGCUCACUGCAGCUUCCACCUUUCGGGUUCAGGUGAUCCUACCACCUCAGCCUCCUGAGUAGCUGGGACUACAGGGGUGCACCACCAUGCCCGGCUAAUUUUUGUAUUUUCUGUAGAGAUGGGUUUUCGCCAUGUUGCCCAGGCUAGUCUCAAACUCCUGGACUCAAGCAGUUCUCCCGCUCGGCCUCCAAAAGUGCUGGGAUUACAGGCGUGAGCCACCACACCCAGCUUCUCCUUCCUGUCAUCUCUCUACUGCAUGGAGGGGUUGGGGGUGGGCAGUCUCCACUACCCCUCCUCCUCUGGGCCAGGCCUGGGAAGCAGGUGUCCCACACACCAAGCUGGGAGCUUGGCCAAGACCCUUCCCUUUCUAGGCCUCAGCUUCCCCACUUCAAAGGGCAAGAGCUAAUGGGUGAAACACGCUGGCCGCUCCAGUGGCCAGGGGGAUCCAGAAGCCAGUGUCCUCUCAUCCCAGGCUGUGAGGCAUACGAUGGGGGGUCCUCUGGACAUUUUCUUUUUCUUGAGAUGGAGUUUCACUCUUAUUGCCCAGGCUGGAGUGCAAUGGCUCUCGGCUCACUGCAAUCUCUGUCUCCCGGUUCAAGCGAUUCUCCUGCCUCAGCCUCCCAAGUGGCUGGCAUUACAGGCAUGUGCCACCAUGUCUAGCUUAUUUUGUAUUUUUAGUAAAGAUGGGUUUUCUUCACGUUGGUCAGGCUGGUCUCGAACUCCCGACCUCAGAUGAUCUGUCCACCUCGGCCUACCAAAGUGCUGGGAUUACAGGCGUGAGCCACUGUGCCCGGCUUCCUUGGGACAUUUCUAAGUGUGGGCUUCCCUGCCUUCUGCUACCCACCUGCCCAUCCUGCCCAGAAUGGCAUGAGGACGCCAGAGGCAGAGCUAGGAGUCUGCUGGCCCUGACACCAUAGCCAACCUGCCAUUCCCACUCAGGUCUUGCCCUUUUCCAUCAGCCCAUUACAUGCCCUGAAAGGCACGCCAGCUCAUCACUCCAACAGAAGAGUUCCUCAGAAAAGAGCUGGGGGGCCAGGCACAGAGGCGGGUGGAUCACCUGAGGUCAGGCGCUCAAGACCAGCCUGACCAACAUGGCGAAACCCCGUCUCUACUAAGAAAUACAAAAAUUAGGGGGCCGGGCGCGGUGGCUCACGCCUG